This 253-nucleotide ribosomal RNA is filed under the name uncultured bacterium. RNAcentral's name for it is "partial 16S ribosomal RNA". It matches the Rfam family "Bacterial small subunit ribosomal RNA", at positions 524 to 776 of the family's 1533-position model. The record is from RNAcentral.
UACGUAGGGUGCGAGCGUUGUCCGGAAUCAUUGGGCGUAAAGAGCGUGUAGGCGGCCCGAUAAGUCCGCUGUGAAAGUCCAGGGCUCAACCCUGGGAUGCCGGUGGAUACUGUCGGGCUCGAGUCCGGAAGAGGAGUGUGGAAUUCCUGGUGUAGCGGUGAAAUGCGCAGAUAUCAGGAGGAACACCAAUGGCGAAGGCAGCACUCUGGGACGUGACUGACGCUGAGACGCGAAAGCGUGGGGAGCAAACAGG